This 682-nucleotide long non-coding RNA is filed under the name Setaria viridis. RNAcentral describes it as "long non-coding RNA (SVIR_LNC008241)". Lineage: Eukaryota; Viridiplantae; Streptophyta; Magnoliopsida; Poales; Poaceae. The record is from RNAcentral.
ACCAGAGGCCGGAGCUAGCACGAGAGCUGAAGAGCCAGGCGGCCAGGCCGAAGCCAAGAACAAGAAGGGCGCGCGCGCUCGAUUCCCUUCUCUCUUCCUCGAUCCCCCGAUCCCGAGCGGGAGCUCCGAGCAGCGACGGCGGCGGAGAUGGUGGCGGCGAUCGCGGUGGCCUCGGCGGGCCUGGGGAUGCUGGCGGGCGUCGCCAUGGCCAACAAGUCGUCCGAGGGCGGAGCCGCGCAGUGGAGGCCCGGGCCGCCGCCGGCCGCGCUGCGGUGGGGCGGAGGCGCGCCGCGCUGCGAGGCGUGCGGCGGGUCGGGCAAGGAGGAGUGCCGCCUGUGCGCGCGCUGGUCCGACGCCGGGGCAAGGGGCAGCCGCCGGUCCGGCUGCGGGGCGUGCGCCGGCACGCGGCGGACGCCGUGCCGGAGCUGCGGCGGGUCAGGGACCGGCCGGCGCGCGCCCGUGCGCGUCGCAACCUCAGGGCGCGCGGCCCCGACCGCCUGGUCCGCCAGAUGAGACGACGAGACGAGCCGGCCUGAGCCGAUCCGUCGCGGCGGCGCCUCUUCGCCUCUCCUCGACCCGGCUGCCGGAUCAUGGAUGAAGGCUCUGUCCUCUGUCUCUGUGCGGCAACCUGCCGGAACGGACAGAGGAGCCGCGGCGUCGAGUUGUUUCUUCCUCUUUUGUU